CAUAGCCCAAAAUAUCAAGGCAGAAAAUCCCACAGUGUGGACUCAGAUCACCCAGUUCAAAGCAGACAUCGUGGGAUUCUCUGCCUUGAUAUUCUGGGAUAUAGGGCUGUGUGGAAGGUCUACAGCCUUCUCGGCCAAAGAAUACUAGCAUCUCACCAAACUACAAAUCCCAGAAUUUCAUAGCACUGAGGCCCCUUCCACACUGCUGAAAAAAAUCCUACAUUUUCCGUUUUGAAUAGGAAUAAAUGCCAGUGUGGAUUCAGAUAACCCAGUUCAAAGCAGAUAUUGAAGGAUUAUCUGCCAUGAUUUUCUGGGAUAUAGGGCUGUGUGGAAGGGCCUUCAGAAUAUCAAGGUAGGAAACCCCACAUUCUCUGAGUGUGGACUCAGAUAACCCAGUUCAAAGCAGAUAUUGUAGGAUUUUCUGCCUUAAUAUUCUGGGAUAUAGGGCUGUGUGGAAGUGCCCUGAGUCCACACUCAGAUAAUGUGGGAUUUUCUGCCUUGGUAUUCUGGGAUAUAGGGCUGUGUGGAAGAGCCCCUUGACUCAGAGGCUCUCAGCACUAUCUAUUCCGAGGGCCCUUUCACACAGUCUUAUAUCCCAGAACAUCAAGGCAGAAAAUCUCACAAUAUCUGCUUUGAACUGGUUUAUCUGAGUCCACACUCUGAUAAUGUGGGAUUUUCUACCUUGAUAUUUUGGGAAGGGCCCUAAAUUCCCUUCCAAAUGGCCAUAUCACCCAUGAUUUCAAGGCAGUUCAGUCACAGUAUCUGCUUUGAACUGGGUUAUCUGAGUCCACACUGCCAGAUGAUCCAGUUCAAAGCAGAUAGUGUGGAAUUUUAUUCAGGGCCCCCAGAAUAUCAUAGAAUCAUUGAGCUGGAAGAGACCUCAUGAACAGUUCUCACAUUUAGGAAGUUCUUCCUCAUGUUCAGGUGGAAUCUCCUUUCCCGAAGUUUGAAUGAUAUUAUUAUUAUUAUUACUACAACUAUUUUUGUACCCAGCCUCUAUGUCCCCGAAGGAACUCGAGGCAGCUUGCAUACAGCACAAUGUGCCUAAAACAAUGCAUAAAAUAAACAAUGCAAUAAAAGAUAAAACCAAUAGCAUAUAAAACAAUUUCAACUCAACCUAUGGUGAGAACUGUUGUAAAACAUCGCCAACUGUAUACAGGAACAAGGGAAUAGGAUAGUGCAAGUUGUAGCUCAUUGCAGCCAUUGUUCCACGCCCUAGUCUCCGGGGCAGCAGAAAACAUGCCUACUCCCUACUCCCUAUUACUUCCCCUCACAUAUUUGUACAUAAUCAUCAUGUCUCCUCUCAGCCUUCUCUUCUGCAGGGUAAACAUGCCCAGCUCUUUAAGCCGCUGAUCAUCAAGGCAGAUCAUUCACAAUAUCUGCUUUGAACUGGGUUACAUAAGUCCACACUGCCAGAACUUCUAUGUGGAUUUUAUACAGCUUUGUGGAAGGAUCCUGAGAAGAUUUCCCUUCUCGUCUUUGCCCCACAAAACAAGCAUUUUCAACCCUGAUGGAAUUCCAGUAAGAACUUCUUCGCCCUUUCUUCUACAUGGUGUCUUUUCAGGCCAUUUAUAUAGGCAUGUGUAGUGAAAUCUACCUUUAAGGCGACCAGGCCGAAGCCUGAAUAUCAGUAGCUUUCAUCUUGAAAGACAGGCUGAGGCAGGAGGAGGAGUCAAGCUGACUCCUGAUUGGGUAGAGCAAUUAGGGGAGGAGUCGGUUGAGAGAGGGAAAAAGGUUGUCAGCUCUUGACAGAGAGGGGGAGAAGGGUCUUGAUAUCAGAGACGGAAGGAUAGGAUUUUAGGAGAGGAAGCUAGAUAGAGUUCUGACAGGGAAGAAGAGUUUUUAAAGUGAGCCUUAAGGUUAGGGAAUAAGGUUGAGACAAAGGCUAGGGUUUUACUGAGUUGAGAGGACCAGUAAAGGAGAGUUUUGUCUUAUUAAACUUAGGAGAAGUUUAAGAUACCUUAUUGCCCUGUGUGUGAGACAGACAAGAGUCUGUUCUCUAGGGAUACUGUUUCUAAGAAUAGAACAGUGUGUUUAAGGAAUCUCACAGUUUUAAAAGCUUUUUGGUCAGUAGAACUAACUGUUUAAUUCCACUAAGUCUCUGCAACUGAAUUACGCUUCUGUACCGCUCAUUCUAUGAGUAGAUGUUUGUUUAAAGCUCAAUAAACUUUUUCUAGUUCACUUUUAA
This is a non-coding RNA of Anolis sagrei ordinatus, 2188 nucleotides long. Lineage: Eukaryota; Metazoa; Chordata; Lepidosauria; Squamata; Anolidae. The record is from RefSeq and is a predicted model, not a curated record.